Molecule: ribosomal RNA, 468 nt
Filed under: uncultured bacterium
Lineage: Bacteria
Description: partial 16S ribosomal RNA
Rfam family: Bacterial small subunit ribosomal RNA
Source: RNAcentral
GACGAACGCUGGCGGCGGGCUUAACACAUGCAAGUCGAACGGAAAGGCCCUGCUUUUGUGGGGUGCUCGAGUGGCGAACGGGUGAGUAACACGUGAGUAACCUGCUCUACACUUUGGGAUAACUUCAGGAAACUGGGGCUAAUACCGGAUAGGAGACCCUGCUGCAUGGUGGGGGUUGGAAAGUUUCGGCGGGUGGGGAUGGACUCGCGGCUUAUCAGCUUGUUGGUGGGGUAGUGGCUUACCCAGGCUUGGACGGGUCGGCGGCCUGAGAGGGUGGCCGGCGACAUUGGGACUGAGAUACGGACCAGAGUCGUACGGGAGGCAGCAGUGGGGAACAUGGCCCAAUGGGCGGAAGCCUGAUACAGCAACGCCGCGUUCGUGAUGACGGCCUUCGGGUUGUAAACCGCUUUCGCCUGUGACGAAGCGUGAGUGACGGUAAUGGAUAAAGAAGCACCGGCUAACUACGUG